This 373-nucleotide ribosomal RNA is filed under the name uncultured bacterium. RNAcentral describes it as "bacterial SSU rRNA". It matches the Rfam family "Bacterial small subunit ribosomal RNA", at positions 521 to 896 of the family's 1533-position model. The record is from RNAcentral.
UAAUACGGAGGGUGCAAGCGUUAUCCGGAUUCACUGGGUUUAAAGGGUGCGUAGGUGGGCAAGUAAGUCAGUGGUGAAAUCUCCGGGCUUAACCCGGAAACUGCCAUUGAUACUAUUUGUCUUGAAUACUGUGGAGGUCAGCGGAAUAUGUCAUGUAGCGGUGAAAUGCUUAGAUAUGACAUAGAACACCAAUUGCGAAGGCAGCUGGCUACACAAAUAUUGACACUGAGGCACGAAAGCGUGGGGAUCAAACAGGAUUAGAUACCCUGGUAGUCCACGCCCUAAACUAUGGAUACUCGACAUUUGCGAUAAACUGCAAGUGUCUGAGCGAAAGCAUUAAGUAUCCCACCUGGGAAGUACGAUCGCAAGAUUG